AGUGAACGCUGGCGGUAGGCCUAACACAUGCAAGUCGAACGGCAGCACAGUAAGAGCUUGCUCUUACGGGUGGCGAGUGGCGGGCGGGUGAGGAAUACAUCGGAAUCUACUUUUUCGUGGGGGAUAACGUAGGGAAACUUACGCUAAUACCGCAUACGACCUACGGGUGAAAGCAGGGGAUCUUCGGACCUUGCGCGAUUGAAUGAGCCGAUGUCGGAUUAGCUAGUUGGCGGGGUAAAGGCCCACCAAGGCGACGAUCCGUAGCUGGUCUGAGAGGAUGAUCAGCCACACUGGAACUGAGACACGGUCCAGACUCCUACGGGAGGCAGCAGUGGGGAAUAUUGGACAAUGGGCGCAGGCCUGAUCCAGCCAUACCGCGUGGGUGAAGAAGGCCUUCGGGUUGUAAAGCCCUUUUGUUGGGAAAGAAAAGCAGCAGGUUAAUACCCCGCUGUUCUGACGGUACCCAAAGAAUAAGCACCGGCUAACUUCGUG
RNAcentral lists this ribosomal RNA (492 nucleotides) under uncultured bacterium. RNAcentral's name for it is "partial 16S ribosomal RNA". It matches the Rfam family "Bacterial small subunit ribosomal RNA", at positions 29 to 507 of the family's 1533-position model. The record is from RNAcentral.